CCUACGGUGUGCAGCAGUGAGGAAUAUUGGUCAAUGGGAGAGAUCCUGAACCAGCCAAGCCGCGUGAGGGAAGCCGGCCCUAUGGGUUGUAAACCUCUUUUGUCGGAGAACAAAACCCGGGACGUGUCCCGGACUGCGUGUAUCCGAAGAAAAAGCAUCGGCUAACUCCGUGCCAGCAGCCGCGGUAAGACGGGGGAUCCGAGCGUUAUCCGGAUUUAUUGGGUUUAAAGGGUGCGUAGGUGGCCUUUUAAGUCAGCGGUGAAAGUCUGUGGCUCAACCAUAGAAUUGCCGUUGAAACUGGGGGGCUUGAGUAUGUUUGAGGCAGGCGGAAUGCGUGGUGUAGCGGUGAAAUGCUUAGAUAUCACGCAGAACCCCGAUUGCGAAGGCAGCCUGCCAAGCCAUGACUGACGCUGAUGCACGAAAGCGUGGGGAUCAAACAGGAUUAGUACCCCUGUAGUC
Molecule: ribosomal RNA, 459 nt
Filed under: uncultured bacterium
Lineage: Bacteria
Description: partial 16S ribosomal RNA
Rfam family: Bacterial small subunit ribosomal RNA
Source: RNAcentral